Molecule: transfer RNA, 85 nt
Filed under: Felis catus (domestic cat)
Lineage: Eukaryota; Metazoa; Chordata; Mammalia; Carnivora; Felidae
Rfam family: tRNA
About the family: Transfer RNA (tRNA) molecules are approximately 80 nucleotides in length. Their secondary structure includes four short double-helical elements and three loops (D, anti-codon, and T loops). Further hydrogen bonds mediate the characteristic L-shaped molecular structure. tRNAs have two regions of fundamental functional importance: the anti-codon, which is responsible for specific mRNA codon recognition, and the 3' end, to which the tRNAs corresponding amino acid is attached (by aminoacyl-tRNA synthetases). tRNAs cope with the degeneracy of the genetic code in two manners: having more than one tRNA (with a specific anti-codon) for a particular amino acid; and 'wobble' base-pairing, i.e. permitting non-standard base-pairing at the 3rd anti-codon position.
Source: Rfam by way of RNAcentral
GCCUGGGUGGCUCAGUGGGUUGAGCUUCCGACUUCGGCUCAGGUCAUGAUCUCACAGUUCGUGGGUUCGAGCCCCGCAUCAGGCU